GGUAAAUGUGGGGAGUUCAUAAGAAAAUGCAUGUUAUAAAUUUAUGGAAUAUAUAACAGCAUCUGUAGGAGUUUAUAAACUGUUAAAAUGUUUCCCUUUACCCAGUCCUUCAUUAUCCUACACAUCCCCUCUUAUAGAGGGCCUCAGAUGCCUGGAAGUCUUAAAUGUUUUCAGAUAUUUCAUACCUUAAACAAAAUAAUUGGAUGACCAAAGAGGAUUGCUGUCUUUGAGCUAAUUACAUUAAAGCUCUGUGGCAAGCACUUCUUCAGCUUGAUGUCCGGAUAUGCAUGGGAGUGCCUUAAUUGGUGAGAUUAUAAUAAGGAUAGGCAUUCGCUCAGCAGAUAAUAACUGCAUGCUCAGUACUUAGACAUUUGUGCAAGUUCUUUAGGAGUAAGAUGGGCUGACUGCUUUGUUCAGUAUAUUGAUACUUGUGGAUCCCAAGUGAAAUGGAGAUUUCAACACCAUUACUGCCUUGUUUAUAUUGAGGAGCUGUGCAAAAUGACAUGAUCUGAUUACUGCUCCGGCUUUGUGUACUGAGCUGUCAAGACAGCCAAGCCCUUAUACCUUUAAUACAAAAGUUAUGUCAAAAGACAAGGCAUUUGACUUGCUCUUUCAUAUUGUUACAUCUCUGAUGGCAACUGGGGGAAUCAGUUUGUAACUUUCAGUGUAUAGAAAUGACACCAAAAUCAAUCAAAAGGAG
This 700-nucleotide long non-coding RNA is filed under the name Bos taurus (domestic cattle). Its description in RNAcentral is "long non-coding RNA NONBTAT024382". The record is from RNAcentral. Lineage: Eukaryota; Metazoa; Chordata; Mammalia; Artiodactyla; Bovidae.